RNAcentral lists this small RNA (148 nucleotides) under Pongo abelii (Sumatran orangutan). Its description in RNAcentral is "Metazoan signal recognition particle RNA (ENSPPYG00000030297.1)". Lineage: Eukaryota; Metazoa; Chordata; Mammalia; Primates; Hominidae. The record is from Rfam by way of RNAcentral.
GCCAGGUGUGGUGAUGCAUGCCUGUAGUCCCAGCUACUCAGGAGGUUGAGGUGGGAGAAUCGCUUGAGCCCAGGAGUUCAACACUGCAGUGAGCCAAGAUUGUGCCACUGCACUCUAGCCUGGGUGACAGAGUGAGACCCUGUCUCAA